RNAcentral lists this ribosomal RNA (478 nucleotides) under uncultured bacterium. RNAcentral describes it as "partial 16S ribosomal RNA". It matches the Rfam family "Bacterial small subunit ribosomal RNA", at positions 28 to 507 of the family's 1533-position model. The record is from RNAcentral.
GAUGAACGCUGGCGGCGUGCUUAACACAUGCAAGUCGAACGAGAAGUGAAGACGGAAACCUUCGGGCGGAAGGCUUUAUUUCGAGUGGCGGACGGGUGAGUAACGCGUGGGUAACCUGCCUCAUACAGGGGGAUAACAGUUGGAAACGACUGUUAAUACCGCAUAAGACCACAGCACCGCAUGGUGCGGGGGUAAAAACUCCGGUGGUAUGAGAUGGACCCGCGUUCGAUUAGCCAGUUGGCGGGGUAACGGCCCACCAAAGCGACGAUCGAUAGCCGAUCUGAGAGGAUGACCGGCCACAUUGGGACUGAGACACGGCCCAAACUCCUACGGGAGGCAGCGGUGGGGAAUAUUGCACAAUGGGGGAAACCCUGAUGCAGCGACGCCGCGUGAGUGAAGAAGUAUUUCGGUAUGUAAAGCUCUAUCAGCAGGGAAGAAAAUGACGGUACCUGAGUAAGAAGCCCCGGCUAACUACGUG